UACGUAGGUGACAAGCGUUGUCCGGAUUUACUGGGCGUAAAGAGCGCGCAGGCGGUCGAUCAAGUCGAGUGUGAAAGCCCCCGGCUCAACUGGGGAGGGUCAUUCGAUACUGAUCGACUCGAAGGCAGGAGAGGGUAGUGGAAUUCCCGGUGUAGUGGUGAAAUGCGUAGAUAUCGGGAGGAACACCAGUGGCGAAGGCGGCUACCUGGCCUGUUCUUGACGCUGAGGCGCGAAAGCUAGGGGAGCAAACGGG
Molecule: ribosomal RNA, 253 nt
Filed under: uncultured bacterium
Lineage: Bacteria
Description: partial 16S ribosomal RNA
Rfam family: Bacterial small subunit ribosomal RNA
Source: RNAcentral